Molecule: ribosomal RNA, 253 nt
Filed under: uncultured bacterium
Lineage: Bacteria
Description: partial 16S ribosomal RNA
Rfam family: Bacterial small subunit ribosomal RNA
Source: RNAcentral
UACGGAGGGUCCAAGCGUUAUCCGGAAUCAUUGGGUUUAAAGGGUCCGUAGGCGGGUCUUUAAGUCAGAGGUGAAAUCUCCCGGCUCAACCGGGGAAUGGCCUUUGAUACUGCAGGUCUUGAAUUAUUGGGAAGUAACUAGAAUAUGUAGUGUAGCGGUGAAAUGCUUAGAGAUUACAUGGAAUACCAAUUGCGAAGGCAGGUUACUAUCAAUAUAUUGACGCUGAUGGACGAAAGCGUGGGUAGCGAACAGG